Long non-coding RNA from Gadus morhua (Atlantic cod), 126 nucleotides. RefSeq lists it as uncharacterized. The record is from RefSeq and is a predicted model, not a curated record. The transcript is spliced from 2 exons. Lineage: Eukaryota; Metazoa; Chordata; Actinopteri; Gadiformes; Gadidae.
UUUUUAUCUCACGUCAUUCAUCCUUGUAAGCCUUGGAGAAGCUUUGUUUUUUCACACUUCUAAACCUGCAACAACUUGUUCAACAACAAUCAAUAAAUGGACAUUCAAGUGGAUGUCGACAACAUC